Molecule: transfer RNA, 68 nt
Filed under: Beybienkoa kurandanensis
Lineage: Eukaryota; Metazoa; Arthropoda; Insecta; Blattodea; Blattellidae
Description: tRNA-Pro
Source: RNAcentral
CAAGGAGUAGUUUAUUGAAAAUAUUAAUUUUGGAGAUUAAUGAAAGGAUUAAAGGGUCUUUUCCUUGA